UACGUUCCCGGGCCUCGUACACACCGCCCGUCACACCAUGGGAGCGGGUUUUACCAGAAGUAGCUAGGCUAACCGCAAGGGGGCCGGUUACCACGGUAGGAUUCGUGACUGGGGUG
This 116-nucleotide ribosomal RNA is filed under the name uncultured bacterium. RNAcentral describes it as "partial 16S ribosomal RNA". It matches the Rfam family "Bacterial small subunit ribosomal RNA", at positions 1367 to 1482 of the family's 1533-position model. The record is from RNAcentral.